UACGAAGGGUGCAAGCGUUACUCGGAAUUACUGGGCGUAAAGCGUGCGUAGGUGGUUUGUUAAGUCAGAUGUGAAAGCCCCGGGCUCAACCUGGGAAUUGCAUUUGAUACUGGCAGACUAGAGUGCGGUAGAGGAGAGUGGAAUUCCCGGUGUAGCAGUGAAAUGCGUAGAGAUCGGGAGGAACAUCAGUUGCGAAGGCGGCUCUCUGGACCAGCACUGACACUGAGGCACGAAAGCGUGGGGAGCAAACAGG
Molecule: non-coding RNA, 253 nt
Filed under: uncultured bacterium
Lineage: Bacteria
Also listed under: 1 other name
Description: partial 16S ribosomal RNA
Rfam family: Bacterial small subunit ribosomal RNA
Source: RNAcentral